This 253-nucleotide ribosomal RNA is filed under the name uncultured bacterium. RNAcentral describes it as "partial 16S ribosomal RNA". It matches the Rfam family "Bacterial small subunit ribosomal RNA", at positions 524 to 776 of the family's 1533-position model. The record is from RNAcentral.
UACGUAGGUGGCGAGCGUUGUCCGGAUUUACUGGGCGUAAAGGGCGUGCAGGCGGUUUGCUAAGUCUAGGGUGAAAGCUCCCGGCUCAACUGGGAGAGGUCCUUGGAUACUGACAGACUUGAGGGAGGCAGAGGAGAAUGGAAUUCCCGGUGUAGUGGUGAUAUGCGUAGAUGUCGGGAGGAACACCAGUGGCGAAGGCGGUUCUCUGGGCCUUACCUGACGCUGAGACGCGAAAGCGUGGGGAGCGAACAGG